RNAcentral lists this ribosomal RNA (557 nucleotides) under Otophryne pyburni. Its description in RNAcentral is "12S ribosomal RNA". It matches the Rfam family "Bacterial small subunit ribosomal RNA", at positions 8 to 962 of the family's 1533-position model. Lineage: Eukaryota; Metazoa; Chordata; Amphibia; Anura; Microhylidae. The record is from RNAcentral.
CAAAGGUUUGGUCCUAGCCUUACAAUCAACUGUUACCCAACUUACACAUGCAAGCAUCUACACCCCCGUGAAAACACCCCCCAACCCCAACGGAAGGGGGAGUCGGUAUCAGGCACAGAACUCUCGCCCACCACACCUAGCUACGCCACACCCACAAGGGUUACAGCAGUGAUAAACUUUGGUCAUAAGCGCCAGCUUGAACCAGCAAGGGUAAAAAGAGCCGGCUAAUAUGGUGCCAGCCGCCGCGGCUACACCAUAGACUCAAGUUGACCUUCACGGCGUUAAGCGUGGUUAAAACUCCUUUAAUUAGAACCUUACCAUAACCAAGUUGUAAUACACUUGUUUCUGCGACACCCAAAAACGAAAGUUGUUCUAACUUUUUGAUCCCACGACAGUCGGGAAACAAACUGGGAUUAGAUACCCCACUAUGCCCGACCGUAAACCUUUAACUCACAAACCCAGCCGCCAGAGAAUUACGAGCCUAAGCUUAAAACUCAAAGGACUUGACGGUGUCCCACCCAUCUAGAGGAGCCUGUUCUAUAAUCGAACUCCCAGGU